RNAcentral lists this small nuclear RNA (107 nucleotides) under Jaculus jaculus (lesser Egyptian jerboa). The record is from RNAcentral. Lineage: Eukaryota; Metazoa; Chordata; Mammalia; Rodentia; Dipodidae.
GUGCUCGCUUCGGCCGCACAUAUAGUAAAAUUGGAACGAUACAGAGAAGAUUAGCAUGGCCCCUGCGCAAGGAUGACGUGCAAAUUCGUGAAGCGUUCCAUAUUUUU